RNA transcript from Trifolium pratense (red clover), 650 nucleotides. It is a transcript of the gene named protein RADIALIS-like 4, with no coding region annotated. Lineage: Eukaryota; Viridiplantae; Streptophyta; Magnoliopsida; Fabales; Fabaceae. The record is from RefSeq and is a predicted model, not a curated record. The transcript has 3 exons.
GGCUCAUUCACACAUCUCUACUAAAACACUAAAUUUUGUUACCAUAUUAUUGUCUUAUAACACUAUCAUUAAGUGUUGCUAAAAUGGCUUCAAGUUCAGGUUGGACAACAAAGCAGAACAAAAGAUUUGAGAAUGCUUUGGCUAUCUAUGACAAGGACACCCCGGAUCGGUGGCAGAAGAUUGCGAGGGCUGUCGGAGGGAAGACGGUUGAGGAAGUUAAAAGGCAUUAUGAGAUGCUAGUUGAAGAUUUGAAGCAGAUUGAACAAGGUCAUGUUCCAUUACCUAAAUACAGAAAUGCUCCAACAAUAGGAGGUAGCAUUAAAGGUUACACUUACAAUGAUGAAGAACAAAGGUUGAAGUUUCUAAGCCUUCAGUGAAGUAAGCAGACCAAAUCGUUGGGUGGAAAAGAGUACCAAUCAAGUUAAUUAAGUGAAGACCAAAACAUAUGCAUCUAGCUUGGUUCUAUAAGAACCAAAAGUCUAAUGUUUUUAUAUCAUCAAAAUAAAAACUAAUUAAUCUAAUGUUUUUAUAUAGGUACUCUACUAUUAUCAUGCUAUAUGUAACAUUAAAAUGUGUAAAUCAAUUAUCUUAAUCAAGGACAUGCCCAUCACUUAAUCAUUCAUGAUGUGCUAAAGCAUGGUCAUUGACUA